This 253-nucleotide ribosomal RNA is filed under the name uncultured bacterium. Its description in RNAcentral is "partial 16S ribosomal RNA". It matches the Rfam family "Bacterial small subunit ribosomal RNA", at positions 524 to 776 of the family's 1533-position model. The record is from RNAcentral.
GACAGAGGGUGCAAACGUUGCUCGGAAUUACUGGGCGUAAAGCGCGUGUAGGCUGACCGGAAAGUCGGGCGUGAAAGCCCUGGGCUCAACCCAGGAACUGCACUCGAAACUCCCGGUCUAGAGUGGUGGAGAGGGAAGUGGAAUUCCUGGUGUAGAGGUGAAAUUCGUAGAUAUUCGCAAGAACACCAGUGGCGAAGGCGGCUCACUGGCCCGGUACUGACGCUGAGGUGCGAAAGCGUGGGGAGCAAACAGG